UGUCUCUUCCUGGUUAGGCUUAUUGUUGCUGUUUUUCCCCCUUCAUGUAGUGGCUAAUUAGCAAAAUGGUUUCCUCCAUGCUCGGAUUGGUUUAGGCCCUGUUAAUUAGCCCCUUUGGCCUCCUUAAAGCAGACAACACAUGCACCCUUGCUCUCCAUUUCUGAUUUGCCCCUCUAGCUGCUGCUGGAAGCUCCUGUUUGAAGCCAAUGCUGUUCAUGCUUUUAAGGAUCAGUUCCUGACUAUUGCCUUGAUUUUAUGUACGGUAGGCCCAGCCAUUCGGGUUUUAAGGUAAAAACUAGUUCUUGUUUUUGUUCAAGAUAUUGUAAGUGAUAUUGUAAGUCUCUUAACAGUUUUCAAUUUCAUUUUUUUGUAGGACUGACCUCUAGCUAGCUGCUGUUUUGUAAUUAUUCUGUUUUAUUUUGAUUUGUUUUGAGAUCGUUUUGGUUUAUUUUGAGUAUAUUGGUUUGUUUGUUUCUGUUUUAUUUGUUUCUUUUGAUUAAUAUUAUUUUGUAUAAUGUUUUGCUCAGUAGACUAAACUAGAGACUUUAUGGGCUGUAUUAAGUCACUGCCAUCAUAACACUUUUGCUAGUGGUUCUUGGAAGCCUGGUUAGACCUAAGAGUAACAAUUAGGGAAAUACUUUUGUCACUUUUUAAAGUGUGAGGUUUUAAGCUGUGAGAUCUUUUGUUGGUAUUUAUAAACACGUGUGACUAAUCAGAUUUUUGGGUGUUAAAUUUCCCUUUCUUUCUUGUCUACCUGUUUAUCUCCAGGCCCCUUGGAUGUGUGGAUUUAAGCAGUGGUGUUCAGUUGCAUAAAGAGCCCUGUGUUUUAAUUGAAUAACUAUAUUCUUGAUUUGGUACCAAUGUUUUAAUGAAAGUAAAAAUAAAUGUGAAUGAGAUUUCUAUUUUGUGUGGAAAAUAAAUUAAUUGUUUUGGAAACUUG
Long non-coding RNA from Astyanax mexicanus (Mexican tetra), 940 nucleotides. RefSeq lists it as uncharacterized. NCBI's taxonomy places the organism in Eukaryota, Metazoa, Chordata, Actinopteri, Characiformes, Acestrorhamphidae. The record is from RefSeq and is a predicted model, not a curated record. The transcript is spliced from 2 exons.